This 253-nucleotide ribosomal RNA is filed under the name uncultured bacterium. RNAcentral's name for it is "partial 16S ribosomal RNA". It matches the Rfam family "Bacterial small subunit ribosomal RNA", at positions 524 to 776 of the family's 1533-position model. The record is from RNAcentral.
GACAGAGGGGGCAAGCGUUGCUCGGAAUUACUGGGCGUAAAGGGCGCGUAGGCGGGAUGGCAAGUCGGUCGUGAAAUCCCUCGGCUCAACCGAGGAACGUCGAUCGAUACUGCUGUUCUUGAGGAUUGCAGAGGAGACUGGAAUUCCCGGUGUAGCGGUGAAAUGUGUAGAGAUCGGGAGGAACACCAGUGGCGAAGGCGGUUAGCUGGCCUGUAACUGACGCUGAGGCGCGAAGGCUAGGGGAGCGAACAGG